UUAGUUUCUGAAUAAAAAGAAGUUUUGAUUACAUUUCUAGCGAGAAAUAUAUAUUUUAUUUUCAUAAUAUUCACUCAGUGAAUUUACAUAAUCAUCGCUUGCUCGAUUUUACGCAGAUUUUUCAGAUCUCGCCAGAAUAAUGUGAAACUGAUACGUUUUGGUUGCUAUGGACACUGCCAGGGCUCGUCACAUGACGUCUUUUAAAGACUUUAUUAAAACCGCGUUCAGCUACAGGUAAAACAACAUUCAGAGGUGAUUUUAACAACGCUCCACGGCGCGUGAGAGUAAGCAUUUUAAGCGUUUUCUGAUCAUGUAGGUGUGCCACUGUGGGUGGCUCCCGCACACCCCCGUGGCUACGCCCCUGCCGUGACCCAAAUCUCGUUCGCACAUCAUCGCGAUGUUUAUCAUCAAUUUACAAACCUCGCCAGUCGCCUCAUCUUUGUUUUGACCAGUUAUGUCAGGAAGCUGCAACUAUUUCAAAGCAUCUUGAAAUGAAAGCUGACAAUGCUGAAUUUGAAGCAGCUACCAGAGAGGCUGAAGAAAUUCUACAAAUGUUUAAUCCUCCACUGCUGAAAAAGAAGACCAAACGAGUUAUUUCCUGGACUCAACAGACACAGUGAACUUUGCACUGCAUUUCAAAGCCAGCUUCUCAGCCGCAACACUGAGAACCAGAGUUGAAGUCAAUGUACUGCUGAGAAAGUGCAAGAUCUAUUUAACCAAAAAUAUAAGGAUGCCGGAGGUACUGGAAGGCUCCCCUACCAAUCCCUGGUAAAUCAUGGCAUGACAGUUAAAGUUGCAGGACUGCCCAACAGCCUCAAAAAGCCAUCCUAUUAUGGAAGGAACCAGUUGGAGGCCAUUUUGCAAGCUGCUGAGGAGAUUUCAUUUGAAAUCAAUGCAGCACAAUGCAACUCCACUGACAAAGCAGAAGGAAUGUUAGAGGCGAUGGACGCAGAAGAGCUGGAAGAACAGUCCUCAGAAACAGCCACCGCUGUAGCUAUCGUGAUGACUGCAGAUUAAGAUGGAGGCCAUUUGUGCUGUGUCUGCCGCAUCCUUUUCGAUGACAGGAAGAAGAAUGCUUCAGAGAAGUGGCGUUCAUGGUCACAGUGCACAGUGUGCCAAUCAUGGUCACACACUGCAUGUCAAGACACCAUGCAAACAGCCUGUAGCGCUGCAUCAGUGAUAGAAAACAUGCUAGUUACACAAAAUGUUUUAUGUUUUAACUUUGAGUUGUUUUUAUUUUGUUCAUGACCCCAUCCCUACAAACACACACACAUAUUUUUAUUUUAUUUUUAUGUAUUAGGUGCAAUUUAAUAUUUUUCAUGCAAAUGUAUUGUAAUGAUUACACUUAUAAGAAUAAAACAGAUUUUAAAUUCA
Molecule: non-coding RNA, 1374 nt
Organism: Misgurnus anguillicaudatus (oriental weatherfish)
Lineage: Eukaryota; Metazoa; Chordata; Actinopteri; Cypriniformes; Cobitidae
Source: RefSeq, a predicted model, not a curated record